CCGUAUACAAUUUAUCCAUUGAACUAUACGCCGAAUAUAGAUGACCAGAGGCCCAGAGCCCAAUAGGGAUAUGUACGCGCCGGCUAUUGUUUGCCCUAUGGGCAAUCUAAUCGAUCCGAUCGAUUGAUCUACAUUUGCGUUCUCCUGGACCGCUUAGGGCUGCUGUCGCCGGUCGCCGCCGUGCGUGUCGUGCUAGGGCGUUUACGGUUGCCGCAGCAGCCAUCCUGGUCGCCACGAUGACGACUCCAUCCAGCCAUCCACUAAUCUACCCUCUACAGCCCGCUAUCCGCAUAUGAUUGACUACAUGCCGGUGGAUCAGAUCAUCAGACUACAGCCAGAGGUCGCAGCCAGGUGACCAGGAUUGAAUAUGUUGGCAGCAGCAGACAGAGUCUUGGAAAGUGCAGACCCAGAGGGGGUGUCUGCAGUGACCUUGCUGCUUAUGGCAUAGAAACAUAUGUCAGGUCAAUUACAGAGUGAAAAAGGUUUUUAGACAUGGGCAUGCUUCAUAUGCAGUGUCAGCACCCAUGUUGCUACUUACAGAGUUCAGAUGCAUUUUUCAAUAAUUUUGUUGAAAGUUAAAGAAGAAUAUAGAGCAGUGUCAGCACCCAUGUUGCUACUUACAGAGUUCAGAUGCAUUUUCAAUAAUUUUGUUGAAAGUUAAAGAAGAAUAUAGAGCAGGUGUUA
This is a long non-coding RNA of Triticum aestivum (bread wheat), 684 nucleotides long. RefSeq lists it as uncharacterized. NCBI's taxonomy places the organism in Eukaryota, Viridiplantae, Streptophyta, Magnoliopsida, Poales, Poaceae. The record is from RefSeq and is a predicted model, not a curated record. The transcript is spliced from 2 exons.